This 254-nucleotide ribosomal RNA is filed under the name uncultured bacterium. RNAcentral's name for it is "partial 16S ribosomal RNA". It matches the Rfam family "Bacterial small subunit ribosomal RNA", at positions 524 to 777 of the family's 1533-position model. The record is from RNAcentral.
UACGGAGGGUGCAAACGUUGCUCGGAAUCAUUGGGCGUAAAGCGCACGUAGGCGGCUCGUUAAGUCGGAUGUGAAAGCCCUCGGCUCAACCGAGGAAGUGCAUACGAAACUGGCGAGCUUGAAUAUGGAAGAGGGUCGCGGAAUUCCCGGUGUAGAGGUGAAAUUCGUAGAUAUCGGGAGGAACACCAGUGGCGAAGGCGGCGACCUGGGCCAAUAUUGACGCUGAGGUGCGAAAGCGUGGGGAGCAAACAGGG